RNAcentral lists this transfer RNA (81 nucleotides) under Lysinibacillus fusiformis. RNAcentral describes it as "tRNA-Leu". It matches the Rfam family "tRNA". From Rfam's summary of the family: Transfer RNA (tRNA) molecules are approximately 80 nucleotides in length. Their secondary structure includes four short double-helical elements and three loops (D, anti-codon, and T loops). RNAcentral also lists the same sequence under 2 other names. The record is from RNAcentral. Lineage: Bacteria; Bacillati; Bacillota; Bacilli; Caryophanales; Bacillaceae.
GCCGAAGUGGUGGAAUGGCAGACACGCCGCACUCAAAAUGCGGUGCCGCGAGGCGUGUGGGUUCGAGUCCCACCUUCGGUA